RNAcentral lists this ribosomal RNA (524 nucleotides) under uncultured bacterium. RNAcentral's name for it is "bacterial SSU rRNA". It matches the Rfam family "Bacterial small subunit ribosomal RNA", at positions 770 to 1296 of the family's 1533-position model. The record is from RNAcentral.
ACUCAAUAGAUACCCUGGUAGUCCUUGCCGUAAACUAUGUAUACUUGGUGUAGUUGGACUCAAACCCCGACUGUAUCGAAAGCUAAACGCGAUAAGUAUACCGCCUGGGGAGUACGCUCGCAAGAGUGAAACUCAAAAGAAUUGACGGGGACCCGCACAAGCAGUGGAGCAUGUGGUUUAAUUCGAUGCAACGCGAAGAACCUUACCCAGACUUGACAUUUAGGAGACCGGCCUAGAGGUAGGCAAUCCCGCAAGGGCUGCUAAACAGGUGCUGCAUGGCUGUCGUCAGCUCGUGCCGUGAGGUGUUGGGUUAAGUCCCGCAACGAGCGCAACCCUUAUCAUUAUUGCCAACAGGUAAAGCUGGGAACUAUAGUGAGACUGCCUAGGUUAACUAGGAGGAAGGUGAGGAUGACGUCAAGUCCGCAUGGCCCUUAUGUCUGGGGCUACACACGUGCUACAAUGGGCGGAACAGAAAGAAGCGAAGCCGCGAGGUGAAGCAAAUCUCCAAAUUCGCCCCAGUUCAG